AUGAUUCGUGGGACGUCCUGCCGGUGGUGGCGAGUCGAAGGCGUGCAGCCUUAGUGGUUUCCACUUUGGGUCUUGUGCGCCGGAGGCGGACCCCGAUGAAAUCCUACCGCGGUGCUCUUUGCCGAGUGUCGAGGUGGGCCGGCACGUUUACUUUGAACAAUUUAGAGUGCUUAAAGCAGGCCUGUUGCGCCUGAAUACUGUGUGCAUGGAAUAAUGGAAUAGGACCUCGGUUCUAUUUUGUUGGUUUUCGGAACCCGAGGUAAUGAUUAAUAGGGACAGGCGGGGGCAUUCGUAUUGCGACGUUAGAGGUGAAAUUCUUGGAUCGUCGCAAGACGGACCGAAGCGAAAGCAUUUGCCAAGUAUGUUUUCAUUAAUCAAGAACGAAAGUUAGAGGUUCGAAGGCGAUCAGAUACCGCCCUAGUUCUAACCAUAAACGAUGCCAGCUAGCGAUCCGCCGAAGUUCCUCCGAUGACUCGGCGGGCAGCUCCCGGGAAAACCAAAGCUUUUGGGUUCCGGGGGGAAGUAUGGUUGCAAAGCUGAAACUUAAAGGAAUUGACGGAAGG
RNAcentral lists this ribosomal RNA (563 nucleotides) under Ducetia japonica. Its description in RNAcentral is "SSU rRNA". It matches the Rfam family "Eukaryotic small subunit ribosomal RNA", at positions 720 to 1163 of the family's 1831-position model. Lineage: Eukaryota; Metazoa; Arthropoda; Insecta; Orthoptera; Tettigoniidae. The record is from RNAcentral.